GAUAAACGCUGGCGGCGUGCCUAACACAUGCAAGUCGAACGCCCUUUUGCGCAAGUGAGAGGGAGUGGCGGACGGGUGAGUAGCACGUGGGUACCUACCCCAAGAUGAGGAAUACCACCGAGAAAUCGGUGACAAGACCGCAUACCUUCGGCCACGAAGAAAGCUUCUCCUCACGAGAGGCGUCUUGGGAUGGGCCUGCGCCUGAUUAGCUGGUUGGUGAGGUAACAGCNCACCAAGGCGACGAUCAGUAGCUGGUCUGAGAGGAUGAUCAGCCACACUGGGAUUGAGAACGGCCCAGACUCCUACGGGGGGCAGCAGUGAGGAAUUUUCGUCAAUGGGGGCGAACCCUGAACGAGCAACGCCGCGUGCAGGAUGACAC
This 379-nucleotide ribosomal RNA is filed under the name uncultured bacterium. RNAcentral describes it as "bacterial SSU rRNA". It matches the Rfam family "Bacterial small subunit ribosomal RNA", at positions 28 to 414 of the family's 1533-position model. The record is from RNAcentral.